RNAcentral lists this ribosomal RNA (497 nucleotides) under uncultured bacterium. Its description in RNAcentral is "partial 16S ribosomal RNA". It matches the Rfam family "Bacterial small subunit ribosomal RNA", at positions 28 to 507 of the family's 1533-position model. The record is from RNAcentral.
GAUGAACGCUGGCGGCGUGCCUAAUACAUGCAAGUCGAGCGAACAGACGAGGAGCUUGCUCCUCUGACGUUAGCGGCGGACGGGUGAGUAACACGUGGAUAACCUACCUAUAAGACUGGGAUAACUUCGGGAAACCGGAGCUAAUACCGGAUAAUAUAUUGAACCGCAUGGUUCAAUAGUGAAAGACGGUUUUGCUGUCACUUAUAGAUGGAUCCGCGCCGCAUUAGCUAGUUGGUAAGGUAACGGCUUACCAAGGCAACGAUGCGUAGCCGACCUGAGAGGGUGAUCAGCCACACUGGAACUGAGACACGGUCCAGACUCCUACGGGAGGCAGCAGUAGGGAAUCUUCCGCAAUGGGCGAAAGCCUGACGGAGCAACGCCGCGUGAGUGAUGAAGGUCUUCGGAUCGUAAAACUCUUUUAUUAGGGAAGAACAAAUGUGUAAGUAACUAUGCCCGUCUUGACGGUACCUGUUCAGAAAGCCACGGCUAACUACGUG